AUUUAAGCAGCUACACCUAAAACUAUAUCUUAAUCCAACAUCGAGGUCGCAAUCUUUUUUAUCGAUAAGAACUCUCCAAAAAAAUUACGCUGUUAUCCCUAAAGUAACUUAUUUUUUUAAUCGUUAUUAACGGAUCAAUUAUUCAUAAAUUAAUGAUUUAUAAAAUUAAAAGUUCAUUAAAUUUUAAUAUCACCCCAAUAAAAUAUAAUCAAUUAUUAUAAUAAAAAAAAUCUACAAAAUUUUAAUAAUCUAAAUAUAAAGAUUUAUAGGGUCUUCUCGUCUUUUAAUAUUAUUUUAGCUUUUUGACUAAAAAAUAAAAUUCUAAUAUAAAUUUUUAUGAAACAGUUAAUAUCUCGUCCAACCAUUCAUACCAGCCUUCAAUUAAAAGACUAAUGAUUAUGCUACCUUUGCACAGUUAGUAUACUGCGGCCAUUUAAAAUUAUUCAGUGGGCAGGCUAGACUUUUAAAAUAAUUCAAAAAGACAUGUUUUU
This 491-nucleotide ribosomal RNA is filed under the name Sarcophaga bullata (grey fleshfly). RNAcentral describes it as "partial 16S ribosomal RNA". Lineage: Eukaryota; Metazoa; Arthropoda; Insecta; Diptera; Sarcophagidae. The record is from RNAcentral.